Molecule: long non-coding RNA, 2111 nt
Filed under: Pelobates cultripes (western spadefoot toad)
Lineage: Eukaryota; Metazoa; Chordata; Amphibia; Anura; Pelobatidae
Source: RNAcentral
GGGGUGGAGAAAAGGGAGGUCAUUCUCCAAAGUGUUAUAUGUAUGGUAAGAGAGCAAAGACUGUGAAAACAAAUAUAUCCGUUGACUAAAAUGUUCUAAAGGAAUGGAUUCCGUUCAUUGCGUUUGGAUAUCUUCUGGUUUCUGGAAUUGAGCUAUCACCAGGAUUUGAAGGGUCUUUGAAGCUUGUUGAGUGGUUGUAGAGCAUUAAAACAAUCCAUUCACAGAGCUGCAUGUAAAUUGGUAUAUGAAGAAAAUUGAAUUUACUGAUGGCAUCCACUUCAUCCGUUAAUAACAACAUAUACAGAUACAUUUCAAUUGGUGCAAAAGGAGGAGACACAUCAAAUCUGAAACCUUUCUUGUUCUUGUAGCAACUUAUGUUACCCAUCAGGAAUCUUAAACCUUUGGCACUGGAGAUGUUGGGGACUAAUAUCCUAUGAUGGUCAUGUAAAGUUUAACCUUACAGAUCUUAGUUGCGCUCUACAUCCACGUUGAAACAAGUCCUUUGAAGUUACUGAAGAACAUGUAUGAUCGUGCAAGGCCAUUAUCAAUAAAAACACGAUUGCACACAAAACCAGGCUUGCUUUACGUUCAAGUUGGUCUAACUUUUUCCCUUUUUUUUUUUUUUUUAAACUUUUUUGUUGUUGAUUUUGCCCUCCCCUAGUUGGGACAUUGUAAAUACUCUUUGUAAUACUGAAAACAUAAUUGGUUGAUACUGGAGAGUUUUAGCAUGAAGGGCAUUUUUCAUUAUAAAAAUAAAUAAAUAAAAUAAAAAAUAAUAAUAAUUAUGAUUAUGUACCACAAUUGACUUGCAUACAUCGGGAUCAUGCACUGCCCACAGGCUCUUAACAUCUGUUUAUUUAAACCAAAGCAAAUAGAAAAACGUUCACAGAUUGUGUCAAAUGCUAUACGAAUUCCUGGUUGUUGGUUUUGUUCACGUUUCAUUGUGAAGUCUGGCUUGGCUGUUAUCGGUAAAACACAUAUAUUUUGGAUUUUAGUUCUGUAUGGGAUCAUUCCACCAUUAACAUAUUUUUUUUUUUCUUUUUAAAUAUAUCUUUAUUGAAAGACACUUCUACAGUAGGUACCAAAUGCAGUUGAACCCUUCUAUGAAAAGGUCUAUGCAGGUUAAUGAUAAAUUCCCUUCUAGUGCUAAUGUAUAUUGUUGUACAGAAGUCAUUUUCAGUUAUUCAUGUGUUGUCAGCAGCUAUUAUUUUUUUCUUGUACAAAUGUUUAAAGUAUGGCUUUUUCUAAGUUGAAAAUUGAAUUUUUAUUUUUAUUUUUUAACGUCUCCUUUGAUGGCGCUAUUAUUUGCUGCUAAAUAACAUUGCUUUUACUUCUGCAGAACAAUAGAAUUUUGUCCUUUUUUCAAGAAAUAUUAAAAAAGGCAAGUUGGGUAAUGUUGUAUACAAACUGGGAUUUUUCAUUAACUUUCAAGCAUGUGUAAAACAUACAGUACUGUAGAUCCCUCUAUGUUCUAUUUACUAGGGUGCGUUGUUUUGUUAAGGAGACUUUUUUUGGUUAUUUUUCUCACUCAAAUGAUCCUCUGUGCAGGUAGACAUUGUAAAAAUUAUAUGUGUGUGUGUGUGUAUAUAUAUAUAUGUAUAUACACACACAUUUCUCAUGGCUUAACAUGCUUAGAAUAUUUUUUUUUUGGACAGCCUAAAUUAAGCUUGAUAAUUUUUUUUAGGAUGUUUUCCUUUGCUACAAGGAGACCCACCAGUGUCAGAAUAGGCAGCAAAGCACCAUUUUGCACUAAUUUGCAUAUUUCUGUCACGUUAAAGGGGUGGGUCCUUUAAACUGUCACAUUCACAAUAAACUGUGUAAUUUUGUUCAUGUUACAAAAAAAGAAGUUGUAUCAACGCAGGUUAUCAUUUAAUAUUGUACAGUUAGCUGCGGCUCUUGUUUCCAAUGUUGCAAGCUAUUUCAUUUUUCCAUUGUACAUAAAUAUACAUUAACUGUCUCUUUAAGAUGCUGCUGAAAUUGUAGAGAAUGUAGCCAAAACCGUAAUAAACAAUGAAAGUUGAAAUUUCAAAUAAUCUUUCUCUGUUUGUUUUUUUUUUUAAAUAUAUUUAUAGUAGGAUAACAAGUGAAAUAGUCCCUGAGUAACUAAGAAA